RNAcentral lists this small RNA (638 nucleotides) under Pan troglodytes (chimpanzee). Its description in RNAcentral is "retained intron". The record is from RNAcentral. Lineage: Eukaryota; Metazoa; Chordata; Mammalia; Primates; Hominidae.
GCAUCGGGGGUGGCCUCUUCCUCACCAUCUACAACAGCACCACACGAAAAGCUGAGGUCAUCAACGCCCGCGAGGUGGCCCCCAGGCUGGCCUUUGCCAGCAUGUUCAACAGCUCGGAGCAGUCCCAGAAGGGGGGGCUGUCAGUGGCAGUGCCUGGGGAGAUCCGAGGCUAUGAGCUGGCACAUCAGCGGCAUGGGCGGCUGCCCUGGGCUCGCCUCUUCCAGCCCAGCAUCCAGCUGGCCCGCCAGGGCUUCCCUGUGGGCAAGGGCUUGGCGGCAGCCCUGGAAAACAAGCGGACCGUCAUCGAGCAGCAGCCUGUCUUGUGGUAUGUCUGUGGGUGCGGCCCCCUGACACAGGCAGGGCAGGCACAGCCCAAGGACCUUGCAGGCUGUAGCAGCAGUGGAGCGGCCCUCUGCCUUCAGGACCCUGUGCUGAUAAUGGGAUGAGGAGAUACAGACCCUUCCCACCACGUGUGGGGACACAUUCUGAGCGUGGGGUCCCAGUGGCCACUGUGGCUGGCCAUGUGUCCUGAGUGGCAAGGGACACUAGGAGGUUCCCGGAAGGGACACUAGGAGGACGAGCGCUGAGUGACAGGGCCACCCACCUGUGACAGGCGCUGCCCCUGCUUUGUGCUGGUC